RNAcentral lists this long non-coding RNA (289 nucleotides) under Linum usitatissimum (flax). Its description in RNAcentral is "long non-coding RNA (LUSI_LNC004103)". Lineage: Eukaryota; Viridiplantae; Streptophyta; Magnoliopsida; Malpighiales; Linaceae. The record is from RNAcentral.
UUUAUUGUUUUCGUUUCCAAUUACGUUUCGUGGUAGGUAGUCCCAGUGUACGUAGGUCGCUUCUAGUGUCUUUUCUAGACAUUUUGCUUUGAAAUGUUCAAGGAGAAUGAAGAUAUAAAGUACGAUAAUUAAUAGGAUUAACUACUUCUCCCGUACAAAUUACCAAUUCAUAUAUUAUACAAAACUGUUGCUAUCAAUAAACCCGCAUAUGCUUGUCAUAAAAAAGAUAUUAAAAAAAAUAACUAACUAUUUCAAAAUCACCAUUCGCCACCUACUACUUUCGACAAAU